GACGUUUUUUCUCCCAUUCCCAAUGUUCAUAGUUGACUCUCCUGGUCUCUAGGACUCUAGUCUUCUUGGUUGAAUUGUCGAUGAAUUUAUUUAUUAGAAAGUUAAUACUACGACAAAUCGCAUUGUUCAACUAAUUACAGUAUGUCAUCUAUAUCUAAUUUUACUUUAGUAGCAGCUAAAGCUGCCUUAGGUGAUAUUUUAGAUGCCUUUGCUGCCCCAGAAAACGCCAAGAAGUUAGUUGAGGCUAAAGAGAAUUCUGGUAACGAAAUGCUAAGAAUGAUGCAGUACGUCUUUCCAAUCGUAACAACGAUACAGAUGAAUGUCAUCAAAAAAUACGGAUUUUCAGAAGGUAGAGAAGGAACAGUACAGUUUGCGCAGUUUAUUAGAACUCUGGAAAAAGAUGAUCCUGAAAUCGCAAAACUUCACUCACAAGUUCGUUCAUACUUUUUACCUUCUGUACUAAAAAAUAUUGAUGAAAAGUGACUUUGAAAUAGUUUUUAGAAUAAGCUUAUAUAAUAAAUUUUAGAAACGAAUAUUUUACUUAUAAUAUUAGUUUUUUCAAAUCAUUACUUGUAGAUAUUUUUUCUAAAAUGAUAUGCCUAAAUCGCUAUUCAUUUCUCUGCCUGCUUAUACUGAUCCAGUCGUAAAAGGUAACACAAGGACUUCUAAAUCUUCGAAGAAAUAUAAAUUAUACCUAAAUAAAAUUAAAAAUGCCCGCCCGGUUCUUCCCAAAUAAAAUUUAAAGACUUUCACACCAUUGCAGAUCUACUGAAAUUUAGUAGUCGUUCUACAUAAAUGUAUGCGCAGUCACAACCUCGUGACUUUAUUAUAGUAGUUUCAUAUACAAGAGACAAGAAUAGAGCGUGACAAGUGUGAUUUUUUUGAAAAUCUAUGAAAAGUAUUUGAAUUAUAUUAAAUUAAUGUCUUAGAGCUCAAACGCACGACAAGCUAACUUUUGCUUGUAAACAUGGCUGACGUAAUUCUGAGUGAUCUAAGCAUGCGCACCACGUAAAAUUACUAGAAAAACCACGAUGGCUGGGGUCAUAUUACUAGUUUUAUGGGAAUUAGGACGGCCAUGUUUACAAGUUCGACACAACCAGCAGCAUUUUCAGCAGCAUUUUCAGCAUAGAACCGCUAAUUUCACACUAGUUUUUUUUUGAUAUAGCCAACAUUGAAAAAAUACAACAACAAUGGUUAGCAUUGUUAAUAAAUUUGUUUGUUUAUAUUUACACAUGUAUAGUACAUAUAUGUAAUGAUGGACUGUCAAAAUAUCAAAUUGUCAACAAAUAAGAAAGGUUAUAUUUUUAUUUAUUUUUUAUGUGUUUGUAAGCAAGUUGGUACAGCUGAAACAAUUUCAAGAAACGAUUAAAACGCCGCCCUAUAGCCGUUAUAUGUGAACUUUUUCUUCUAUAGUGCUAUGGCAUAGAACUUGGUUGGAAAACUAUGCUAGUGGCCACAUGCCUUAAGCAGAGUGGUGCCAAAGGCGAAAAGCUGCCCAGAACUGACGUAUAUUAUACGGAAACAUUUAGUGCCCUCUGUACUAAACAUGGCGUCUGGCGGUCUCGUUAUGAAUAUUAUUAAUAUUUGUUAUAAUAAACAAAGUGACACAGAGAAAAGAAAAGUACAACAGCAGUAUAAACAAACUGAUUUUCAUUAAUAAAAAGUGAUAGAUUAUAGUAAGUAUAUGAUUAAUUUUAUAAAUAUAGUUUAAUCAAAGUAUAAGACGUGUAGUAAAAUUGAAUUUGUUGUUAUUAUUUAGAUUUAAUUAAACAAAUGAAAUUGAGUUUUUUUUUAUAUUACAAAAAUGUUUGUAUGUCAAUAUUUGUUAUUUAUUAAUAAGUUUAGUAUUAAGUGGAAACUAAUUGAUUUAUUUUUAAUCUACGCAACAGGUAUUUAGUAAAACGGGUUAUUGUGCUGUACCAGGAUGUAAAAAUAGCACCAGGUAUCAAAUAGGUACAAAAUGCUGGUCUAGAUAUUACAAAACUCAUCGAGCAAUCGUUUAUCUGUGAGAUGGCAGAAAGAUGUCCUGUUUAGGACAACCCUUGUGGCGACUAUAAUGCGUCAACUUUAAGUACUACUUUUAACCAUAUUUUAAAGCACAACUAUUUGAACCGAUCGAAAAGAUGUCCAAAAGUCAGCUAUUAUUGGCCCACGCUCAUUGGUCCAUAAAACGUCGACAUUAUGUUGUUCAUGUAGACAUGUCUUAAAGUCAUCUUUUUGUACAGUCAAAAAGUACUGUAAAAAAUAGACUGUUUUAUAAACAAAGCUACGGAUCCGAUCAUAUAUUCAUUCAGAUGUGCGUCUGUGCAAUAGUUUUUUUCUAUCAUAGAUUAUUAUCCGAAUUGUCGUUUAUCAAUUAUAAAAACAUUAUCUAUUAAAAGAAAAAACAACAGUAGUUCUAUCUGAGCUCAGGACAAACAUAAAAAUUCAAGUUAAGUAUAUAUAAAUAUUUAUUUUAAUUUUGGAUCACAACCUAACCUAAAUCUCGUUUAUGAUUAAUACUAUUAUUUUCACUUAUAUUUAUUAAUUUACAACCGUUGAAUCAAUAUGAACAAAAUCCAAGUAAUAAUGAAAAUCAUGGGCCAAAUUGCUGCACUCGUAAUACUUUAAAAUUUAACAUAAUUUUUUCGGUUUUUCUCUUUAUAUUUUAGUAAAACUAAUAACUGGGUAUUUUUAUGUUCAAAGGUUGUCGUCGAAUGAUUAGGAUCAAACUCAAUGAAAUAUUAUUAAUACUGAGAGA
RNAcentral lists this unclassified non-coding RNA (2740 nucleotides) under Aphidius gifuensis. RNAcentral's name for it is "uncharacterized LOC122849143, transcript variant X7". Lineage: Eukaryota; Metazoa; Arthropoda; Insecta; Hymenoptera; Braconidae. The record is from RNAcentral.